AGAGUUUGAUCAUGGCUCAGGAUUAACGCUGGCGGUGUGCUUUAUGCAUGCAAGUCGUACGGUCUCGAUUUAUCGAGAUAGUGGCAAACGGGUGAGUAACACGUAAUUAACCUGCCCCUAAGUAGGGGAUAACUCUAAGAAAUUAGUGCUAAUACCUUAUGUGAUGGUGCUGGUAAGGCAGCACCAUUAAAGCCUUAGGGUGCUUAGGGAGGGGAUUGCGUCCGAUUAGCUAGUUGGUGGGGUAAGAGCUUACCAAGGCGAAGACGGGUAGGGGGCGUGAGAGCGCGGUCCCCCACACUGGCACUGAGAUACGGACCAGACUCCUACGGGAGGCAGC
This 337-nucleotide ribosomal RNA is filed under the name uncultured bacterium. Its description in RNAcentral is "bacterial SSU rRNA". It matches the Rfam family "Bacterial small subunit ribosomal RNA", at positions 8 to 352 of the family's 1533-position model. The record is from RNAcentral.